Long non-coding RNA from Carya illinoinensis, 1961 nucleotides. RefSeq lists it as uncharacterized. The transcript has 2 exons. Lineage: Eukaryota; Viridiplantae; Streptophyta; Magnoliopsida; Fagales; Juglandaceae. The record is from RefSeq and is a predicted model, not a curated record.
AAACAUCAGAUUUUAAUUUUUGUUGUUCAAAAAAAAUAAAAAUAGAAAAAGCAAGACACAAGGCCAUAAACUGGCAAAAGCUUCUCCUAAAACUUGCAAGGAAUCAGAAAGUGGCAGAAGAGGGAUCAAUAGAAUCCGAAACCCUAAAGAAGGGGGGGUGAUACCCCAGUGAUAUUGGGCAGGCCUGCCCAGGGCGCCCCUGUCAAUUCCUCUUGCCAGUCGCCCCCACUUAAAAAUGCUUGUGGAGGACGCAACAUAUCCUCUAAAUGUAGAUGUCACUACUGCAUCAAUGGGUAAAUUUUCGGGUUCCCAAUUCUGCUAGAUUGCUAUUAUUUUUCUGAGUUCUGACACCCCUGGAUGAGGGAAGUUUCCGAUAAAUUUGGUACCUUGGAUUGCGACGGAUAACUGUUAUGGGCACACCCAUCUCUCUCUUUCCGACAGAUCUCUCCGUCACCAAACAGUCUUCCUCUCCCUUUAUUCGUUGCUCAUUCCUUCUCUUUCUUCAUUGAAACUCUAUAAAUAUAACACCAUCCAACUCUCUUGACCCCUCAGCACUUCUCCAUCUCUUCCCCUUCUCUCCCUUUCCUGAGAAUCUUUUCCUUUCACUAGUUCUUUUUACAUCUUUAGGAGUUAAUUUAUGCAUACGCAGGAUAUUAUUGUUCAAUAUAAAAAAAUAUUGUCCAUAAAUCAUAGACCUAGACAUGGGCGUAUGAAGUUUUUGAAUCCUUUUCUCUUUCCCGUGAACUUUUUUCCUUAACUUUUCUGUUUAGGCAUGAGAUUUAGGGUUAGGGUUAGGAUGUUGGUCCUUCCUAUUCUAUCUCUUGCAUGGGCUAAAAAUGAUGACGAAGUUCUAAAGACCAACAGCAAUUGUUUGCGGAUGGAGCAUCAUCAAGAUUCACAAUCGUUUUGAGGGCCUCUUCGGGGUAGUUCAUCGCUUUAUUCCGUGUGGCCUGUGAUCUGGGAAUCUUGAUGAUGCUGCAGCGGCAAUAAAUGGCUAAUACUAACAGGUUAUGAAGACUAUGCCCUCAAUUUUGGUGCCAAUAAGAUUGAAGGGUUUUUUGCAGGUUAAUCCCGAUUUGUCUGAUGUUUGGGUUAAAGAAGGUGGCCCACGAUCCGUACGGUAAUACGGUAUAAUCUGUGUUUUUUGGGAUAUUUUAUUUUCAGUAGUUUUACUGAAAUCUUUCUCUGAAAGUUAUUCGCACUGCAAACCCCUGGUCUCAGCAGGUAUGUCUGUCCUUUGGAGCGUAUUGUAACCCGAGAAAUCAUGACGUCUUUUUGUUUGAUGUAUUGAAUGGUUAUUCGCUUUUCUCUCUCUCUCUCUCUCUCUCUCUCUCUCUCUCUCUCUCUCUCUCUCUCUCUCUCUCUUCGUUUUGAUAUUCAUUUUGAUCUGCAUGAUAUCGAUCUAACCAGCUUAUUGAAAACAUGAAUGACCAGCUUUUCUGUUGGAAUACACAUAAAGUCGAACAUGCAAUCAUUUUGUCGGUUUCGAACAUAACAAUCGUGGAGUUCUGGGUUUUUCUGGCAUCUGAAUUUGAAAGCCAUCCUUUCAAAUGAGGGAUUUCUUAGAUUUGAUGUGGCAGUUCAAUAUUUACAGUUUCUCGGCUGUUUUUCAUAAUUUUGGUUUGGUUUUCCAGGAUAUAUAAGCGGCCUUUGAAGUGGCAUUUUAGGAUUUCUGGGUUUGCAUAUGAGAGGAAAGUUGUCUACUUCAAAUCUUCUCCAGUUAUGUUCAAGCAGGGGAGCGCUUUGGCUUACUAUCUGUUAAAUGCUUAAUGGAAUUAAUAUCUUACAGUUUUAAGACUUUUAGAUUAAUAGCUGAAUCUUUAAUAAUAAUUUUAUGGUAUAUGGGUUAAAAGCUUAACCAUAUUCAACAAUCCUAGAACUUUCAAUUGUUAAAGAUUAAACUAUUGAUAUAAAAAUUUUAAAAUAGUUGGAUACUAAUUUAGUUAAAACUUUUAUUUUUC